UACGUAGGGUGCAAGCGUUAAUCGGAAUUACUGGGCGUAAAGCGUGCGCAGGCGGUUUUGUAAGUCUGUCGUGAAAUCCCCGGGCUCAACCUGGGAAUUGCGAUGGAGACUGCAAGGCUUGAAUCUGGCAGAGGGGGGUAGAAUUCCACGUGUAGCAGUGAAAUGCGUAGAGAUGUGGAGGAACACCGAUGGCGAAGGCAGCCCCCUGGGUCAAGAUUGACGCUCAUGCACGAAAGCGUGGGGAGCGAACAGG
RNAcentral lists this ribosomal RNA (253 nucleotides) under uncultured bacterium. RNAcentral's name for it is "partial 16S ribosomal RNA". It matches the Rfam family "Bacterial small subunit ribosomal RNA", at positions 524 to 776 of the family's 1533-position model. The record is from RNAcentral.